This 76-nucleotide transfer RNA is filed under the name Gemmatimonadales bacterium. RNAcentral's name for it is "tRNA-Pro". The record is from RNAcentral. Lineage: Bacteria; Pseudomonadati; Gemmatimonadota; Gemmatimonadia; Gemmatimonadales.
CGGUGUGCAACAGCUUUGGUUCAGCCCGACCGGUCUGGGGGACCGAAGGUCGGGAGUUCAAAUCUCCCCAGCCCGA